Molecule: ribosomal RNA, 439 nt
Filed under: uncultured bacterium
Lineage: Bacteria
Description: bacterial SSU rRNA
Rfam family: Bacterial small subunit ribosomal RNA
Source: RNAcentral
ACGCGAGGAACCUUACCAGGUCUUGACAUCCUUCGCUACUUCUAGAGAUAGAAGGUUCCCCUUCGGGGGACGAAGUGACAGGUGGUGCAUGGUUGUCGUCAGCUCGUGUCGUGAGAUGUUGGGUUAAGUCCCGCAACGAGCGCAACCCUUGAUCUUAGUUGCCAGCAUUCAGUUGGGCACUCUAAGGUGACUGCCGGUGGCAAACCGGAGGAAGGUGGGGAUGACGUCAAAUCAUCAUGCCCCUUAUGACCUGGGCUACACACGUGCUACAAUGGAUGGUACAAAGGGCAGCAAAGCGGUGACGCCUAGCAAAUCCCAUAAAACCAUUCUCAGUUCGGAUUGUAGGCUGCAACUCGCCUACAUGAAGCUGGAAUCGCUAGUAAUCGCGGAUCAGCAUGCCGCGGUGAAUACGUUCCCGGGCCUUGCACACACCGCCCGU